Molecule: ribosomal RNA, 253 nt
Filed under: uncultured bacterium
Lineage: Bacteria
Description: partial 16S ribosomal RNA
Rfam family: Bacterial small subunit ribosomal RNA
Source: RNAcentral
UACGUAGGGUCCGAGCGUUGUCCGGAAUUAUUGGGCGUAAAGGGCUCGUAGGCGGUUCGUCACGUCGGGAGUGAAAACUCGGGGCUUAACCCCGAGCCUGCUUCCGAUACGGGCAGACUAGAGGUAGGCAGGGGAGAGCGGAACUCCUGGUGUAGCGGUGGAAUGCGCAGAUAUCAGGAAGAACACCGGUGGCGAAGGCGGCUCUCUGGGCCUUACCUGACGCUCAGGUGCGAAAGCUAGGGGAGCGAACAGG